RNAcentral lists this ribosomal RNA (459 nucleotides) under uncultured bacterium. Its description in RNAcentral is "partial 16S ribosomal RNA". It matches the Rfam family "Bacterial small subunit ribosomal RNA", at positions 338 to 795 of the family's 1533-position model. The record is from RNAcentral.
CCUACGGGGGGCAGCAGUGAGGAAUAUUGGUCAAUGGGCGGAAGCCUGAACCAGCCAAGUCGCGUGGGGGAAGAAGGUACUGCGUAUUGUAAACCUCUUUUGCCAGGGGACAAAGGCGGCAACGGGUGGCCGUAAGAGGGUACCUGGAGAAAAAGCAUCGGCUAACUCCGUGCCAGCAGCCGCGGUAAUACGGAGGAUGCAGGCGUUAUCCGGAUUUAUGGGGUUAAAAGGGUGCGCAGGCGGCGUGUCACGUCAGCGGUAAAAUGUCGGGGCUCACCCGCGGCCGGCCGUUGAGACUGGAGUGCUAGAGUUGGAGAGAAGUAUGCGGAAUUCGUGGUGUAGCGGUGAAAUGCAUAGAUAUCACGAAGAACCCAGAUUGCGAAGGCAGGAUACCGGCUACACACUGACGCUGAGGCACGAAAGCGUGGGUAUCGAACAGGAUUAGAUACCCGUGUAGUC